RNAcentral lists this long non-coding RNA (551 nucleotides) under Populus trichocarpa (black cottonwood). RNAcentral describes it as "long non-coding RNA (PTRI_LNC001146)". Lineage: Eukaryota; Viridiplantae; Streptophyta; Magnoliopsida; Malpighiales; Salicaceae. The record is from RNAcentral.
UAAAAUACAGCAAAGAACCAUUCCAUUAUUCUAAAUCCAUCUUCAGUAACCAUAAAAUCGUCUCCACGCAUUACAAAAUGGUUAUGAAAGAAACUAAACGACCUUAGCAGGAAUUACAUCAGGAGCUGCGUCAACCUUAAAAAAGAAAAAAAAAAGGGACCCAAAACCGCGAUGAGAGGAAACGAACAUUGAAGCCGUGAAGAUGAAGAUUUGAAGCAUACACUAAACCAGUCCCUGGGUUGUUAGAUUUGAAGAUGAAGAUUGAAGCCUUGUUGAAGUUUUGUUAGAUGACUAGAAGUCUAGAUCUGGCCAUGAAGUUUUGUAAAGUGAUGGAGAAUUAAUUUUUUAUCAGGUCGAGAGUGAGAGAGGUUUAGAUUUGAGAAGAUUUGAGAGAUUUGAGAGAGAGGUUUAGAUUUGAGGGCUGGGGGGGCGGCUGGAUGCAAGGGAAUGCUAGGGUUAAAAGUUUAGAUUUGAGAAGAUUUGAGAAGAGAGGUUUAGACGUGAGAGGAUUUGAGAGAUUUGAGAGAGAGGUUUAGAUUUGAGGGCUGGGG